This 497-nucleotide ribosomal RNA is filed under the name uncultured bacterium. RNAcentral describes it as "partial 16S ribosomal RNA". It matches the Rfam family "Bacterial small subunit ribosomal RNA", at positions 28 to 507 of the family's 1533-position model. The record is from RNAcentral.
GACGAACGCUGGCGGCGUGCCUAAUACAUGCAAGUAGAACGCUGAAGAGAGGAGCUUGCUCUUCUUGGAUGAGUUGCGAACGGGUGAGUAACGCGUAGGUAACCUGCCUUGUAGCGGGGGAUAACUAUUGGAAACGAUAGCUAAUACCGCAUAACAAUAGGUGACACAUGUCAUUUAUUUGAAAGGGGCAAUUGCUCCACUACAAAAUGGACCUGCGUUGUAUUAGCUAGUAGGUGAGGUAACGGCUCACCUAGGCGACGAUACAUAGCCGACCUGAGAGGGUGCUCGGCCACACUGGGACUGAGACACGGCCCAGACUCCUACGGGAGGCAGCAGUAGGGAAUCUUCGGCAAUGGGGGCAACCCUGACCGAGCAACGCCGCGUGAGUGAAGAAGGUUUUCGGAUCGUAAAGCUCUGUUGUAAGUCAAGAACGAGUGUGAGAGUGGAAAGUUCACACUGUGACGGUAGCUGACCAGAAAGGGACGGCUAACUACGUG